RNAcentral lists this transfer RNA (82 nucleotides) under Candidatus Coatesiibacteriota bacterium. Its description in RNAcentral is "Candidatus Coatesbacteria bacterium tRNA-Leu". It matches the Rfam family "tRNA". Rfam says of the family: Transfer RNA (tRNA) molecules are approximately 80 nucleotides in length. Their secondary structure includes four short double-helical elements and three loops (D, anti-codon, and T loops). Lineage: Bacteria; Candidatus Coatesiibacteriota. The record is from RNAcentral.
GCGAGAGUGGCGGAAUUGGCAGACGCGCUGGAUUUAGGAUCCAGUGGGUAGUACCGUGGGGGUUCGACUCCCCCCUCUCGCA